RNAcentral lists this ribosomal RNA (771 nucleotides) under uncultured bacterium. RNAcentral describes it as "bacterial SSU rRNA". It matches the Rfam family "Bacterial small subunit ribosomal RNA", at positions 8 to 796 of the family's 1533-position model. The record is from RNAcentral.
AGAGUUUGAUCCUGGCUCAGGAUAAACGCUGGCGGCGUGCCUAACACAUGCAAGUCGAACGCUCUUUCGGGCAACCGGGAGGGAGUGGCGGACGGGUGAGUAUCACGUGGGUACCUACCUUGGGGUGAGGAAUACCGCCGAGAAAUCGGCGACAAGACCGCAUACGCUCGGAGACCCCGAGCAAAGUCUCGCCUCGCAAGAAGCGAGACGCCCGAAGAUGGGCCUGCGGCUGAUUAGCUAGUUGGUGGGGUAAACGCCUACCAAGGCGACGAUCAGUAGCUGGUCUGAGAGGAUGAUCAGCCACACUGGGAUUGAGAACGGCCCAGACUCCUACGGGGGGCAGCAGUGAGGAAUUUUCCGCAAUGGACGCAAGUCUGACGGAGCAACGCCGCGUGCAGGAUGAAGGUUUUCGGAUCGUAAACUGCUUUUCUCGGGGAAGAGAACGGACGGUACCCGAGGAACAAGCCCCGGCUAACUACGUGCCAGCAGCCGCGGUAAUACGUAGGGGGCGAGCGUUGUCCGGAGUUACUGGGCGUAAAGCGCACGCAGGCGGUCUACCACGUUCCCACUGACAGUGGUCGGCUUACCCGAUCAAGGUGUGGGAAAACGAGCAGACUUGAGGGCCAGAGAGGGAGACGGAAUUCCGGGUGGAGUGGUGAAAUGCGUAGAUAUCCGGAGGAACACCGAUGGCGAAGGCAGUCUCCUGGCUGGUUCCUGACGCUCAGGUGCGAAAGCGAGGGGAGCGAACGGGAUUAGAUACCCCGGUAGUCC